This 2133-nucleotide long non-coding RNA is filed under the name Cicer arietinum (chickpea). RNAcentral's name for it is "long non-coding RNA (CARI_LNC001526)". Lineage: Eukaryota; Viridiplantae; Streptophyta; Magnoliopsida; Fabales; Fabaceae. The record is from RNAcentral.
UCAAAUGUUUAAGUCUUCAUUUUCCCUAAAACACAUCCUAAACUGCAAGCGGUGCCCUUCUUCUUCGUCAUUUUCAUCGACGAUGACCUUGUCAUAUCUUAUCGGCGGCAAUCGAUGGCGGUCACAAACCCGUGCUUGUGUGCCUGUAUUUUAUUCUUUUGUGAAGGUGAUAAACAACUAGUGUUUGAGCACUCGUGUCUGCUUGUUAAGGUAAUGUUAUUGGGCCACUCAUAUUUGUUUCUACUAUUAUGGGAGCAACAUGUGACUUUAUUGUUGUUUUUGUUUAUUCUACUAUUGUUUUCAAUUUUUGUGUUUGUGGUAACCAAUACGUGCAUUUCCUAUUAUUUUUUAUUAUUCGAAUGUUAUUACUUUUAGUGGGGACAAAAUAUUUGUCAUCUUGACAUGUGAGUUUUUUUACUUUACAAGAUAAACUUUUCUAUUUGUUUUCACCUAUGAGGAUACGUUUUGUGAGGGAUUGAGUUUUGUAUUACAUAGAGGUAGUGAACAUGUGGUUCAUGGGAUUGAUGUCGAUAAAUGGAACUACAUGAGAUUGAUGUCGAUAAAUGAAGUUAUUUUUAAGUUAUUGGUAUUUUGAAGACUUAAGUUAUAAUAACUCAAAGUAUAUGUUAUGGUGGAAAAAUGACGAAGAUGAUAAUUUUGAAAGAAUAGUGGAUGAUAGAUAUGUAUAUGAGGUUGGUGAACAUGUUAUGAAAAUGAAUUGCAAAGCUCAUUUAUGUUGAGCAUUUGGUAAAAGGGUUAGUUGCGUUAAAACCAAUAUUAGAGUUUGAGUAGUUUUAUGGAGGUUAAAUGGUGUUAGUGACAAUGACAACAAUGACAAUGAAGCUGAUAUUGUUAAAUUUAAAGAUAUUGAUGAUGAGAGAAUAAUUAGUUUGGAUGAUGGUUUUGGUGUUGAUAAUAAAAUACAUGGUCGCUCUAUUGGACCAAAUAAUGUUGAAAUCCAUAGUUUAAACCAUGGUAAACCAUAUAUAAUGAAGACUACUGCAAAUAGGUCCACUUCGAAGAAUACAACUAAGAACAUAGAGAUUGUUCCCGUGUUAGACAAUUAUAAUUCUGAUAUUGAAAUGAAAUAUGUUUAUGAAGAGCUAGAUAGUAGUGACCUUGAUUCAAAUUCAAACAAAGAAAAUGAACCAAAGUAUGAUUAGUUUAGGGUGGAAGAGCUUGACAAUAAUUACAAGUUCAAAUUGGAACUAGAGUUUAAAUCACUUGCUGAGAACCUCCACAAGUUCAAGAUGAUUUUGAUCUUGAAUUUGAGGCUUUGGUCGAUGCCUCUGAGGCUUCUCAACCCAAUUUUUCUGCUAAAGCUCCAUCAUCUUCAUCUAUUUUUGUUGUUGCUUCUGCAUUUGUUGUUGUGUCUGCAUCUACUACUACUUUUGUUGUCGCUACUAAACUAGUUGAGGUAAAUUGUGCAAUAUAUGUAAUCAUUAGUAAAAUGUGUAAUUAUGUAAUGUUAAAUAAUUCUACAAUGAUUAUGUAUAUAUGUAGUCAUGAAAAUAAGAAACUGAUAUGGUGUUAGUGUAUGUUUUUAAUGAAAUUGAUUUGUAUGAUAAAUAACUCUGUAUAGCCUAUGCAUGUCUGUAUGAUUUUCAUUUUCCUAAAAAAUAUUAGAAAUUUUUUCUUCUACGCAAUUAAUAGUUGCUUUGACUAGUUACUCGUGUUGUUUGUAUGAUUACAAUUUUGUGCCUGUUGUUGAUUUUGCAGAAAGCAGAGAAACUAAAACCAAAAAUUGUCAGAAAAUUAGGUGUCAAAAAUUGAUGAGAAAAUUAGGUGUACAAUAGUCCUUAAAGUGAUUCUAGAAGUUUCAUACUAAUAGAUGAUGAUGAUCAUCAUCAUCGAGCAAGUCUAUUAAUAGUUGGUGAUGUAGGAAGCUCACAGUCUAUUUUGCAUGAUCCUAAACUUGAAGGUUGUUUGGAUAAUUAAGAAGUUCAGAUGAGAUUUGAAGGAGGAUGACUUAGUGGCCAUUUUGAAGUUGUUAUUUUGUAUUUUGGAUGACUCAUGAUGAUUUGUUUUUCGGUUGAUGUAUGAAACCUAAAUGUUUAUGUAAUUUAAUUAUGAAUGACAGUUGUCUAUUUUGGUUAAAACAAAAUACUUAUAUGUAUUUUGGUAUGAGUGACA